This 34442-nucleotide long non-coding RNA is filed under the name Fragaria vesca (wild strawberry). RNAcentral's name for it is "long non-coding RNA (FVES_LNC002804)". The record is from RNAcentral. Lineage: Eukaryota; Viridiplantae; Streptophyta; Magnoliopsida; Rosales; Rosaceae.
UCUAUAUGAUUUGAUUCAAUAAUGAUCAUGAUUUUGUUUGAGAAACUUGUAUUGAUUUUAGGCAAAUUGGUGUAUUUGUUUCAAAAGAUUUGAUUAUCUUUUUUUGGGGUUUUAAGCACAAUGAGAGUUAUGCACAUAAGGUGUUUGAUGAAAGUCGUUGUUAUACAAAACCCUUGAUCAUCUAAUUGCUACUGAUUCAGUAAUCAUGAUGUGGGAGUAAAUCCAUUUUUGCACAUUAGAAUACAAUUUACAGACAAGAUAAUAUGAUGAAGUUUAUACUACUAUGUGUUAAUUAAGCUAUUGUUUAUCGAUUUCUCUAAAUAUCUGCUACUGUAUUUUCUAAAAGUUGAUGCUACAACACUAGCUGAGUCACUAAAAGCUUGCUACUACUCUACUGGUAAUACCUUGUUACUGCAUUUUUGGAAAUAGUUGUUAGUCUUGCUACCAACUAAUUGAGCCACUAAAACAUGCUGUUGCGUUUUUUUUAAAAUAAUUGGUACUACAUUAGCUAAGUCACUAAAAGUCUGCUACUACAUUUACUGGAAAUAGCUUUGCUACUGCAUUUACUAGAAGUAGUUGCUACUAUAUUGGCUGAGCCACUAAAAACAUGCUACUACAUUUAUUGGAAAUAGCUGCUACUGCAUUUACUGAAAGUAAUUGCUACUACACUUACUAAAACUGCUACUGCACUUACUGAAACUGCUACUACACUAGCUGAACCACUAAAACCCUGCUACUAUAUUUGUUGGAAGUGUAGCUUUCCAGCAAAACAUGCUACUACAUUAGCUGAGCCACUGAAAUAUGCUACUGCACUUACUGAAACUGCACUUACUGAAACUGCUACUACACUAACUGAACCACUAAAACCCUGCUACUACAUUUGUUGGAAGUGUAGCUUUCCAGCAAAACAUGCUACUACAUUAGCUGAGCCAUUGAAAAUAUGUUACUGCACUUACUGAAACUACUACUACACUAGCUGAACCACUAAAACUCUGCUACUACAUAUGUUAGAAGUGUAGCUUUCCAGCAAAACAUGCUACUACAUAAGCUGAGCCAUUGAAAACCUGCUACUACUUCUAUUGGGAUGUUAACCUCUGCUACCACUUUCUACUGGAAUGUUAACCUAUGAUACUACUUCUACUGGAAUUAACUGCUACUACUACUGGGAUGUUAACCCCUACUACUACUUCUACUGGGAUGUUAACCCCUGCUACUACACUAGAAUUAACUACUACUACACUAAGUUAUCCAAAAAAAUAUUAGAUAUUUACGUCAAUAUAGAGACGACAGAAGAGUGUCGUCUUAGAUUGAACCAUUGUAUUGAAAAUUUGGGGUUGUUUUAAGACGACAGACGUCUGUCAUCUCAUGAACAAGCUAAUUUAAGCUAUCUGUGAGUUGCUACAUUCAGACGACAUAUAUUUAAAUGUGUAUCGUCUGAAUGUAUCAGAUGACAGAAAUACGUCUUCUGUCGUCUGAAGCCAAAAAAGACGUAGUGAAACCUGUAAACACUUCUGAAAAUUUAAAUCCAACCUUAAACUCUUAGAGCCUUCGUGCUCCCCAAAUCACAACACCACCCAAAAUAAUUACUAAUCUAAAAAAAUCUCAUAUCCAACCCUUUAUAGGUUCAGAGAAACUCUAAUAGGAAGAAAUGAAACAUACAAAAUUAACAAGCGGAAGCUAUAUGAUGACUAUGCCUCAUCUCCAUGUAUGCCCGACCUCAACUAAGCUAACCUACAAGUUGGACAUUUUUAAAACAAAAGGCCCGGGGAAAACAUUUGAAAAUGUUAGAGUGAGUGGACAAAAAUAAAUUAAUAAAAAAUAUUUAUGCAUUCCCAUUUUAAUUUCUAAAGAAAUUAUACUGCAUGCGUCCGCUCAAAAGCGCUCAACUCAUAAACUGGCAACUUCACGACUAGCUCUGGCUAGUUACCAACUCAAAUAAAAUGGAGCCUCUCAGGCUAAACUAUAUAUAAACAUAUACGUGUAUGUAUUUACACUCGUCAGACUCCUUGUAUGAAUUCUAUAAACAACUUAGAAAAAUAGAAACUCAUACAAGGCUAUGACACUUGCGUCUAAUGCUCACGUCACGUCAUAAUGGAAUUUUUCCUCAUUAUGACCGAAGAGGACGGUGUAUAUAUACGUGUGGACUCCCUAUAUGAAAACCUAAAUAAACCAGAAAAGAACGUAGUUUUCAUAUAGGGCUAUGACGCUUGUGUCUAACACUCACGUCACGCCAUAAUGGUAUUUUACCUCAUUAUGACGGACCAAGCACGUAUGGCUAGCUAGCAUUUAUAUACAUACUAUACUCAUAACAUCCAAUAAACAUAACCACCGAAAAUCUCAUUUUCGGGAACUCUCCAAAGGAGAAAAAAUUGCCAAAUAACCAAUAAGUCUCAUUAAAAGAAAUAAAUGAUCAAUAAAAUAAUUCUUCGCAUGUUUUUCAAUUAAAACAAAGGUCCACUCACAACUUUAGGCAUAAGCCCGACGAAAUCCAAAUCGUCACUCUAGUGAGGUUUCCUCGAACCCUGGUACAAAUAUAUAAUUAAUUUCCCAACAAAAAAUCCAAUAUUUAUACAAAAUAGGCAAAAUUAACCGAGAGUCAUAAACACGCUCAUCAUUGCCUAACUUCGAUAUUCUUCAUUCGAAAAAACCCAAACUUUAAUACCAUACUCGGCAGCCGUAAAUACAACCUCCCCCAGAAAUUGACUUAAAUCCUACAGCCGGAUUCUACAUUAUUCAACCGCCAAAAAUACCAAACUUCGGAAAUUCACAAACCUAUCCAAAACUCUUCCUAAAAUUCCAUAAUUCACAUCAAUAAACUCCUCUUAAUAUUCCACACUUAAAACUAUACAAAACUCCCAAACAACGGCGGCGGCCGGAGGCCGAUUCCGGCGACCUCCAAUGCCCACCAAAUUAUAACAGUAGCUUCCUCUCCACUCCCUCUACAACACUUUCCUAACUAGCACAAACACAAAAUCCAAGCCUAGCUAGGGGAAUCGAACGCAAACACCUAAAGAGCCCUAGGAUUUCAACUUCAAAUUUCUCCUUACCUAGCUCAAGAGGGAGUAAGCCAUUUGAAGGGGUUGCUGAACGGAAGGAGGGCUACAAAACGAGCCAAGGAUCGUCGGCUUUGGCGGCCGGAGGAGAGAGUUCCGACGAGAAGAUAACCGGCUUCCAAGGAGGACUUCCUCCGUUCGGCGGGGUUGCAGCGCCGCUCACCAGCCCAGGAAGGCGGCGGGGAGGACGACGGACCGUGCUGGAGUGGUGCGGCGUCCCUACUUGGCUGGACGAUACUGACUGGGCUCGGGAAACUUCCAGCAGUCCAAGAGAGAAAGAGAAAGGGUCAGGGAGAAGAAGAGAAGGAAGAGAGAAGAAGAAGAAAGAAUGAGAAAUGGUUUGGGCCUCCCCAAACCGGGCCAACUCUAAAAAUACCCACACCAAACAUACACCCAACUCCAAAAAUAAUACCCACUAAAAAUUACCUUUUACUAGCCUAAAAUUUACCCUCUUUACCGUCUUCAAAAUUUUUCAUACGAAUAACUCUCCGAAAUAAUCGUCCUCCAAAACCCUUCUAGGGACCAAUUAAACUAUAGCUUCAUUGACGAAGACGGUAAAAUUCUUAUUAUAAUCAAGCUAGUAAAUAAGGUAGAAAUUUAAAGGUCGGGAUGUGACACUUUUGGGCCUCAUUAGUUAGUUUUUAAUUUAUUUAUUUAUAUGUUUCUUGCAUUUUAUUGUAUCUUAUAUCAAAGUAUUUGAGUGUAAUGCUUACUAUGUCUUAUAUAUAUCAUAUCUAUGUAUUUGAGGUCCGACAAUCCCCGGGCUCAUGACCGCAUUGAGCGGCCACAAACAUGGGCAAGUUGAAGCCGUCAACAAGACUAACAUUGUAGAAAUCUUGACUCCCGCCUUCAGCAAUGUUAAAUUCCACCAACGUGGCUGGAGGAACUCAUCCUCCAUCCCCUGGUAUUCUAUUCGUUGAAUUGAGGUUUUUUUUUUUUUUUUUGUAUGAAAAACCAGCUAGAUUAAACGGAGGUGCCUCUAAUGCACCCGCGGUUUACAGAGUCAAAAGACAGNNNNNNNNNNNNNNNNNNNNNNNNNNGGGGGAACAAUCUCCUCCCAGAAAUGAACAUCUCCUACUUUGUGGCCAAAAUUUGCAACAACAUUAGCUACAAAAUUGGCCUCUCUAAAAAUAUGCUUGAAGCUAAUAUAAUCAAAGGAGUUCCUCAUAAUUCUAAUUUCUUGAACUAGCUUGAGGAUCCUCUAGGGUGUAGCAACAAUGCCAUUAACUGCAUCGAGGACAAGCUUCGAGUCUCCUUCAACCUCCACUCUGGACAAGCCUCUCUCCUUGGCACAAAUGAGGCUGUAUAGAAGUGAAAGGGCUUCUGCAACUGAGAUUGUGGUAAUUUCGAAAUUGGAAGAAGCUGCAACAAGUGGAUUGUCAGUAGGGGUUCGGAUUACGAAUCCUCCUGCUGCAAAUCGGAGUUCCUCCAGACUGAGCCAUCAAAAUUAAUUUUAACCCUAUCAAUAGGGGUUGGUGACCACCUGAUCAUUUCAGAGUCUGUUCCGGGAGUAAUUAAUAAUCAAAUUCCUAGUUGAACUAGGAUCACUCUGAGUAUUACUUAGAGCCUGUAGGUGAGCUGCAGCAGUAGCUACUGCAUGUGGCAUUGGAUCUAGGGGUUUUGCCCCUAAAAACCGCAUCGUUUCUGUCCUUCCAUAUCUGCCAACAAGUCACAAUAAAAUUUCCAAAAAGAUUAGAGUCAUAUUGAUUAUCUAUAAACCAAUUACGCACCACCUUAAUAAGGCCUUCCUCCUAGUCAAUAGGAGGAGUCAUGGUAGCUGCAUUCCACACAGAAGUUGCAAAUUUGCAGCAACCAAAUAAAAUUCGUUGAAUUAAGUUAUCAGUGUCCUCAUACACACAAUAGAAAAUUCUCUUUCUAUAUAUCACCCAAUAAAAUACCCAAGCUCAGGACCUCUCUCCACCCAAAGGAAUCAAGCACUUUAAUAAGCUGGAUUGUAAGGUCAUACACAUUAACCAGAGGAACAUCUGACGUUAUCACAACUUUCUCAUGAUCAUCAGCAAUGCAUUUAUACUUGAGACCUUCCAAAAUGGCCACACUAUCAUCAUUCUCAAGAAGCUCCAAAUUAAAUGUAGAUAAUGAACUAGUAGAAACAAAUCCUCAUGGCUAUCAUUCACAUAAACAUUUCCAAUCACUAAUCCGUUGUCAGUAAUCAUGGUAGAUCACCUAAUACAGCGCUUAAUCACAUCAAUCAGUACCUUCUUUGCCUUCUCAAAUUGACCCGAUUCACAAUAUCGACACACCACAGCAAGUUGUUGUUCAACUCCAGGGCCAUCAUCACCAGCUUGAUAAUCUUUGUCUCCAGUACUCAAAAGAGCAGAAUUGGUCCUUCCUGCAUAACACAAGCCACUCGACUUUGGCAUUUUAUCAAACAGGUGGAGCAUACGGUAUUCUCUUCUUUUCACUCCCAAAUUCAGUCCCUGAUUAUUUUGCUUAACAUUGAUACCCUCCAAGCUCCAACUCAUGGGGCUUUCUACCAUCUCCAUCAUUCAUCACAAUCUUCUGAACAAAACUCUCUCCCUUCUUAGUAGCACAGUUCACAUCAAUACCAUCCAAUUUAAGUAAUCACAGAAUCAACAGCAAAACUAUCCUUACCACUGCUUAACAGUAGAGAUAUCGUAAUUCAAACUCAAAAUCUCAUCAGUAGCAGGUCCCCCACCUUUGUCUCGAAUACUCGUAAGAGCAGAAUCGGCAUUUCUUCCACUACCACACCCCUUUGACUUGGGCAUUUCAUCGAGCAGAGCCUUCUCUCCCAUAUUUUGCUGAAAUUGGACCUAAACAGAAGGAUGCCUGGGUGUUAUUCCCUUGGGGCCGACACAGUGCUGCCAAGCAGAGAAGGCACAAUUGCCGUCCUGAAUGAGAACUUGCGCAUCGAGGGCUUAUUGCGCUUCAGGCACUUGUGCUUCUUCACUCCGCGAGUGGCUGGAAUCGACUCGCUGGAGGCUUGCUUGCUUUGGGAUACUUGACACUGCUGCUCUCCUGAUUCAUAACAGUUUGCUACUUCUAUGCAGUUACGGCAAGAUCUUGAUCGACUACGAGGCUCUCAACCUCAGGAUCGAACAAGAACAACACAUCAGAGAUGAAUCAUCGGCGUACGAUUUGCUCGACUAUUUCUUCAAGCUCAUCCUCAACGAUCGUCAAAGAAACCUAGCUGAAGCAGUUUCAUGUCUUGUCUUUGCUUCUUCAAGAUUAACAUGCGGGGUGAUUCCUAAGCUUGGGGAGAUCAGGGACUUGUUCGGCGAGCGUUACGAGGAGAGUUUUGUCGACACUGCUGUUAAACUGUUGCCUGGGAAUCUUGUAAACCCUACCUUCAAAAAGAAUAUCAUCGCUCUCUGCCCGCCAGACUCAGAGGUGCCUACUGACGUCAUAGUAAAACAUGAACUGGUCAAACCCUCUUUUACUAGUUCUUCUCCUGAUCAGGCACCAGCGAGAUCAUCAGAACAGAAAAAGGAUGACAAGGUCCAAUGCCCUAAACAUGUCCACCCCAAAUUGCCUGAUUGGGAUGAUAUAUAUACCCAGUUCAAUGCUCUCAAGAAGCCUAAAUAUGUGAACCCUAAGUUGCCCGAUAUUGCAGCCAAGAUUAAUGCUCUCAAUCUCUCGAAGAAUGAGAACACUGCUGACAAUUACCAGUUGCAACUACAGUACCAUGAAGUUCAUGGCAGUGUUGAUGAUGGAGCAAUAUUCAGUUUUCAUGGUUGUCGAAACUCGAUAGAAAGAAUUGAAUUUGAAAUCCAGCAGUACUGUUAUUAACAGUCAUCCCUUGUUCAUUGAAUCCCUAGCUUUUUUUUGGUCUGUGUUGAAUCCCUAGCUUAGCUGUUAGAUUUUAUAUAUCAUAUGUUUAUUAUCGAUCAGAUUAAAAGAAGAUUUAAAUUAUUCAACAAAUCCCAUUGACUAAUAUUUAUUCAGAUUUUCUUUUAAUUAAUAUGUAUUCAGUUUCUGGUCGAUUUACUUCACUAGUUCCAAUUAUUUGAUGUAGCCAGCAUUCUUCGCGAUCAUAGGGUGACUACUAUUAUCUGGUCCAACGUACGUUUAGCUAGAUCCCUUAGAAAAUGUUGCUCUUUGAAAAAUAUGGAGAACACAAAUUAGAGAAGUACUUAAGAAAGAAUUUGAAUUUGAUCGUCCUUGACAAACAUAUAGAACGGUGGGUAUUUUAGGAGUUAAAACCUUGUAAAAAGGGUGAUAGCCAGGUUGAAGAGACUAUAGUAGAGCAGCCCAGUAGAAAUAGGGGUUGCUCUACUUGGCCCCACGUAGAGCAGCUCCACGUGCAAAGUGGACAGCUUGCUUUAGUUUGCUGAGUGUUAGAUUAGGAUGAAAUGGAUCGUUGAGGUCUUAACAUAUGGCAAUUAGGUGUAAGAGAAUUAGAUGAAGUCUUACCUUUUUGACAAGUGUCCUUUUGUCAUUGGAUAAGACCCAUUCAACCGACUUAGAAUGUCAUCUACAACUUUCUAUAUAUAGCUGAUUCCGAUCAGCUCCUUAUUUCUCUCUCCUCAUUUCUUUCUCUCUAGAAUUUACGAUUAAAUUUUGACGAAUCAAAACUUUUAAUCUGUAAGUUUGAUUCAGAAUCCACGAAAAAUUACAGUUUCGUAUCGAUGUCCUUUUUUUAUCUGUUGAGGUUUGAGUUAGAUCCAACAGUGAUUUCUAGAUGACUUAUUUUAGGAGUCUCGGUUUACAAUCGGUAUUCGUGGUAGGGAUUUGUAUUGUUGAGAUGAGUGGAUUUGUGUAAUAUUGUAAUGCCUCAAACUGCACCUCCUCAGUUUAGUCACAUUACAGUGCCACGAGUCUAUAAAUAAAACAAAGAGAAACGUAAGGCAGUUAAUUUAAGAAAAAAUUUAUAAAAAAAAACACAACAGAAGUGUAAAAAUAUUUUAGGGUGUAAAUCUUUAUUUCCUAAAAGUAUUUUCAUCCACCAAAACUUGAUGUAAGGAAUGGUUAAAAAUAAUGAACUCAAAGGAAAUACAAUUUCUUACUAAGAGUAUCAUAAAGAGUAUCAUAAAACAAACUCACAAUAGGAUUUUACUCUUUCACUCGCGUAAAACUUGAUAUAAAAUGCCCAAUAAUUAAUGAACUUCUGGGAAUAGAAUUACGAAUCAGAACAUAACAAAACCAACAAAAAUAGAAUUUGGUACUUGAAACUCCAAUAUAAAAAUAAAGAGAACAUCAUGGAAACCAAAUUACCAAUCAUAAAUAUGCACACCCAACUCCUCGCUAUUAUCCGUUCCAAUGCAUAAUACCUGCAACUAAAACUGUUGUAGGGGUGAACUUUCGUCCUCGCUACUCAAAGAACUUUACCCUUAACUAGGUUUGGAAACCAAUAAAUAAUAUGGGUUGCCCAGUAUGAAAACAUGUUUAAAACAAAUUUAUAAUGAACGACAAACUUGUAGAAAAUAAUUUCAAUAUUAAAUAAAUGAGGCGCUAUAAACUGUACCUGAUGGCCGGUCAUUUUUAGACCCAUUAUCCAACUUACCUCACUAUAUAUAUGUACAACAGGUAAGUGUAGUGAGAGUGUCCACAAACGCCCUAUCGCCUAAAAGCAGUGCCACUCCACAAAGCCUAGAAGCAGUGCCACUCCACAAAGGAUAUAAGACACUCUUCCGUCCAUAAAGGCCCAUAUGGAGGUUUAGGGGAUCGAACCCAAGAUAGUCACUAUGCUCCUCUCACUCUCAAGCCAUAAAUAUCUCAUAACACCGAUUACCAUAUUUUUAUCGGAUAAUCGGAUCAUGCAAUCUCAUAAACAUUUUAUAAAAUAAAAAGAGAAAAUUACAUAAUAACACAUGACCAAAUUUAAAAACACAAAAACCUCACUUUCAACAUUUUCUGUACAAAUUAAAACAUAAGCCUAGACCCAAACUAAUGGUACCAGAUCUGAUCUAGACUUUCACAGGCAAAAUGACUAAAAUACCUAUUUUUCAAAUAAAUUUAAGCAAAAUGACACCGCAGUAGCACAUCUCAUGUCGACACAGCAAUAGCACGUCUCUCGUCGACACGAUAGUAACACCUUCCUACACGGCUGUAGCACGUCUCCGGUCGACACGAUAGUAGCAAGUCUCGGGUCGAUACACGGCAGUAGCACGUCUCCGAUCGACACGACAGUAGCACGUCUCCGGUCGACACAGCAGUAGCACGUCUCAUGUCGACACUGCAGUUGACACGACCCACCCCGAAUUUCACCCUGAAACCCGGAGUAAGUCGUGCGGGGACCACCUCCAAGGAAAAUUUACUGAAAAGAUUGAGAAAAUCUCCCUUGCAGAUGGACAACUCUAACUCGAAAAUUCCAAAUUUCACUCUUAAUUCAACACUUCCCAACAACACAUAAUUAUCCUUCAGAAAUUCUACACAUAAUAUACAAUAAUCCCAAAGUAUUCAGAGCUACUAAACACAAACGGAAGCAAGAAGACACGAAUAGGUUGAACAGGUAACCUACUGAUGAAAACUGGCAGAAAUGCGGGUGACUAUGCCUCGCCUCCUACUAGAUCCAACCCGAACUCUGCAGACCGGGUAAUUUAAAACGAAAGGCCCAGGGGAAAACAUUUAAUAUCGUUAGAGUGAGUGGACAAAAAUAAAAUAAAGGAAAUAAUUCUUUAUGCUUUCCCAAUUUUUACUUUUCCAUAGAAAAGAAAAUAUGCUGCAUGCGACAGCUCAAAACGCUCAACACGAAAACUGGAAUUUCAUGACUGGCUCCGGCCAGUUUCCAACGCUCAAUAAAAUACAGCCUCUCAGGCUAAAAUAAAAUAUGUAUGUAUUACACUCGUCAUAUCCCUUGUAUGAAUUUUCUUGAAACAACUAAAACAAAUAGAAAAUUCACACAAGGCUACAACGCUUGCGUCUAACACUCACGUUGCACCAUAAUGACAUUUUACCUCAUUAUGGUGGAAAAGACGGUGUAUAAAUAUACGCGCAUAUCCCCUAUAUAAAUUAUUAUUUUUAUAUAGGGCUACAACGAUUGCGUCUAACGCUCACGUUGCACCAUAAUGGAAUUUUACCUCAGUAUGGUGGAAAAGCACGUAUAGCUAGCUAGCAUUCUCUCAUAUACAUAUUAUUGUCAUAAUCAUCCACAUAUGGAUAUAUAUAUAUACACUCACCGAAAUUCUCAAUUUCGGUUAUUCUCCAACAACAUAAAUUAUUUCGCACGCACAUUAUUUAAAACAAAAGUCCACUCACAAAUUAGGCCUAAGCCUGAUGUCGAUCUGGGGCCUCGUCAGCUCGAGCCUCCUCACGACCUGUUCCAAAUAUAAUAUUAAGUUCCCAGCCGAAAUUCCAAUAUUUAAUCAAAAUAGGCAAAAUUACCCGAGAGCCAUAAACACGCUCAUUAUUGCCUAACUUCGAUAUUCUUAAAUCGGAACGAUCCGAACUUAAAUAUCAUCCUCGGCAGUCGUAAAUAUAACCUCCCCAAAAAUACGACUUAAAUCGUACGGCCGGAUUCUACAUUAAUUAACCGCCAAAAAUACCAAACUUCGGAAAUUCAUAANNNNNNNNNNNNNNNNNNNNGGUGGCUGGCCGGACGGCGGCAGACGGCGACUGGACGAUCCGGCAGGGGGGGAGAGCACGGGAGAAAGGAGGAAGAGAAAAGAGAGAAGAGAAAAAGAGGAAAUGGGUUGGGCCUCCCAACCGGUCCACCCUUAUCAACCCAACUCAAAAAUAAAAAACACCCAAAAAAUAAUACCCGAAUAAAAAUUACCUUUUACUAGCUAAAAUUUACCAUUUUUACCGUCGUCGGAUUUUUCCUCAUACGAAUAAUCCUCCGCACAUAAUCGUCCCCGAACCCCUCUAGGGACCACUUAAACUAUUAACUCAAUGAUCGAGACGGUAAAAUUCUUAUUAUAAUCACGCUAGUAAAUAAGGUAAAAAUAUAAGGGUCGGGAUGUGACAGCAGUAGCACGUCUCAUGUCGACACGGCAGUAGCACGUCUCCGGUCGACACGGCAGUAGCACGUCUCCGGUCGACACAGUGGUAGCACCUCUCUCAUCGAUACGGUAGUAGCACCUUUCUACGUGGCAGUAGCAUGUCUCUCGUCGACAUGGUCGACAAGGCAGUAGCACGUCUCCAGUCGACACGGUAGUGGCAUGUCUCCAGUCGACACUGCAGUAGCACGUCUCUCGUCGACACGGCAGUAACACGUCUGUGGUCAACACGGCAGUAGCACGUCUCAUGUUGACAUGGCAGUAGCACGUCUCUCGUUUACACGGCAGUAGCACGUCUCAAGUCAACACGACAGUAGCACGUCUUAUGUCGACACGGCAGUAGCAAGUCUCUCGUCAACACUGCAGUAGUACGUCUCUCGUCGACACUGUAGUAGCACGUCUCUCGUCGACACGGUAGUAGCACGUCUCUGGUCGACACGGUAGUAGCACGUCUCUAGUCGACACGGUAGUAGCACCUUCUUACACGGCAAUAACACGUCUCCGGUCGACACGGAAAUAACACGUCUCCGGUUGACACGGCAGUAGCAUGUCUCCGGUCGACACGACAAUAACACGUCUUAUGUCGACACGGCAGUAGCACGUCUCAUGUCGACACGACAAUAACAUAUCUCUCAUCGACACGGCAAUAACACGUCCAUAGUAGCAGUUGACGAUUAGAGUGCAAGAGACGUCGAGAGGAAAUCUAUUGGUGUCGGUGCGUCAUCGUUAGGUGGCCGGACGACAGAGUUAAGAUGGAGGAGUUCUUGGUCGGGGUACUACUUCUUUGGGUUUCGGAAAGAGUCGAGAGAGAGAGAGAGAGAGAGAGAGAGAGAGAGAGAGAGAGNNNNNNNNNNNNNNNNNNNNGAGAGAGAGAGAGAGGCGGUAUGACUGGUUGACCAAAUCAACCUCCUCUUAUAAGUCCAUCACCGACUUGAUCUUAACGGUUGAGAUUAAACGGUUUACAUUCCAACAGUCCAGUUCUCAUCGUAGAUUUAUCUAAUUUUCUAUAUUUUCAAAAUUUCCAAACUUUAUAGAAAACUCGUUGUCUUGCUUACUUUAUUAUCCAACUUUUAGAUAAUGAUUUCACCUUGCAUAAACUUAUGAAGUCUUUCUCAAGCACAUAUCAAAAAUCAAAACUAUCGAGGUCGAUAAGCUAUUUACCAAAUGACCUCAAAUUAAGCUGGUCAAGUUUUUGGGUUAUUACAAAUAUGUUUCAUGCACCGCAUGCGGGGUAUUACAAACAGUCCCUUACUCAUUUUUGGCUAGAAUCUGAAACGAAAAAUCGAGCUUUUCAUUUACCUGACCAAAUCAUUAAGAGCAAGGAAAGGGACCAAAGAUCAAGUUAUUUCCACAUAAAUGGAACUGCCAUUGUUAUAAGACCACCACCUAAAGAAAGUGUAGGAUAAGUUCUGAUGUUUAUAUCAAAAGGAAGACUACUGUACUAAACAGAGCGGGAACCCAUUAGUCUUGCGACUCAAGUUUCAUGGAUGAAAUCCAAAUGGGUCUUUCACUUCCACAACCUCACCUCUCACUACUUCUCCCCCUCCUGGCUUUCUUCUAUCUCCUCUCUUUUCAAGAACCCUAUUUCCGAAACCUCGCCAUUGGUCCUCAACCAUGUCGAUGUAACUCUGCUUCUUUCCUUCUGUGGCAAAAAUCGUCACUUUCAAUUGGGUUCUUCCCUUCAUGCAUCUAUCAUUAAGAACCCUGAACUUUUCGAGCCCGAGAAUCGCAAUGUCGUUGUACUUUGGAACUCUUUGCUUUCCAUGUACUUGAAAUGUGGGCAGUUGUGGGAUGCGGUUAAGGUGUUCGAUGAAAUGCCUGUGAGAGAUACGGUUUCGUGGAACACUGUGAUAUCGGGGUUUUUGAGGAAUGGGGAGCCUGAGACUGGUUUUGGGUACUUCAAGAGGAUGUUGGAGUCAGAUUAUUGUCGAUUUGAUAAAGCUACUUUGACUUGCCUUAUAGCGGGUUUUGAUGGGGUGGAGGGUUGUUACUUGAACAAGAUGAUGCAUGGUUUGGCGGUUUUGAAUGGAUUUGAGCGGGAAACUGCAGUGGGGAAUGCUUUGAUAACAUCUUACUGUAAAUGUGGGUGCUUUGGCUCAGCAAGGCGGGUUUUUGAUGAGAUGUUUGAGAGGAAUGUAAUUACGUGGACUGCAAUGAUUUCGGGCCUUGCACAUUAUGGUUUCUAUGCUGAGAGCUUGAAGUUGUUUGCGGAUAUGCUUGGUGGUGUGGUGGAACCGAAUGCUAUGACGUUUUUGGGCUCACUUAUGGCAUGUUCUGGAUUGCAGGCAAUAAGGGAGGGGCGUCAGAUCCAUGGCCUUGUAUGGAAAUUGGGAGUUCAAUCGGACCUGUGUGUGGAGAGUUCAUUGAUGGACAUGUAUUCAAAAUGUGGUAGUGUGGAAGAUGCAUGGAGAAUCUUUGAGUCCACUAAAGAACUUGAUGAGGUUUCCAUGACUGUUAUCCUUGUGGGAUUUGCACAGAAUGGGUUUGAGACAGAAGCUAUCCAGAUUUUUGUGAAAAUGAUGAGGGCAGGGAUUGAAAUUGACCCAAACAUGGUUUCAGCAGUUCUUGGAGUAUUUGGUGUUGAUACUUCUUUAGGUCUGGGAAAGCAACUACACUCUUUGAUAGUCAAGAAGAAUUUUGGUUAUAAUUCUUUUGUCACCAAUGGGCUAAUAAAUAUGUACUCCAAGUGUGGAGAGCUGGAGGAUUCAGAAAAAGUGUUCACUCAAAUGCCUCAAAGGAAUUCAAUUUCAUGGAAUUCAAUGAUUGCGGCGUUUGCCCGUCAUGGAGAUGGCUCCAAAGCAUUACAACUGUAUGAAAAUAUGCAAAUGGAAGGCGUACAACUGACAGAUGUUACAUUUCUGUCUCUACUUCAUGCUUGUAGCCAUGCUGGCUUGAUUGAAAGGGGCAUGGAAUUUCUGAACUUUAUGAAAGAAGAACAUGGGAUGAGUCCAAGGCCAGAACACUAUGCUUGUGUUGUUGACAUGUUAGGUCGGGCAGGACUUUUAACUGAGGCUAAAUCUUUUAUUGAAGGACUACCUGAAAAUCCUGGGAUACUUGUUUGGCAAGCAUUACUCGGUGCUUGUAGCAUUCAUAAAGAAUCUGAUAUUGGGAAAUAUGCUGCAGAUCAGUUGUUUUUGACAGCACCGCAGUGUCCCGCACCAUAUGUUUUGCUUGCCAAUAUAUAUUCUUUUGAAGGAAGGUGGAAAGAGAGAGCAAAGACUAUUAAGGGGAUGAAGAAGAUGGGAGUGGCAAAAGAAGCGGGUAUUAGUUGGAUUGAAAUCGAAAAGAAAGUUCAGAGCUUUGUUGUUGGUGAUAAAAUGCAUCCACAAGCGGAGAUCAUUUAUAGGCUCUUGGCAGAUUUGCUUAGACUUAUGAAGGAUGAAGGAUACGUACCGGAUGAGAGGUUUUUACUUUAUUACUUGGAUCAAGAUGAAAAGAGAUGAAGGCCAAUCCUUCAAAUUAAACUUGACCAAUUCAAGUACAUUUAUUUGUAGAGACAAAGGGAGCAGGAUUAAGGUGUGUUUAUUCCCACAUUCUACUAAUUUUCUGUGUUUAGUAUAUCUUCAUAAAAGCUGAAUCGUUAAACUUUUGCAUGUGGAUUUGUGAUUUCUUAUACCUUUUGUCUUUUACUCUUUACUCCUAGGAUGAAACAAAAGCUGGUAGACUUCUAGCUGGGUUUUUCAUACAGUUCAUCAUAUCUGGUAGCUAAAACCAAAGCGAAACUGAACAGCAUAGGAUUUAUAUUGACUUCCAUUCUCCCAUAUAAUACAUGCAUUCAGCAGAUAAUAUCUUUACCUUUCGAGUAUUUAUGUGAUCCUUAUGAAAUAUUGGUUCAAAAUUAUAUGUCGCUCUGCUCUCUGAAAGAAGCGCCAGCUAUGGCUGCCAACAAGUUGUGCCUAUAUUAUUAUCAAGGGCCAACCAUUGUUGACUGCCACACCACGGUUUAAUGAUGUGGGUCCUCUGGUACUUGCCAGAAAUAAUAGCACGUCAGCUUGAUACUGUAUACUAAAAGUCAUGCAUGCUUUGCUUCUUUUAGUUUCACAGCUUCAGAAUCGUGUAACAAUCAUGGACAUACAGUGAUAUAUCAUAAUAAAUUUCAGCCAAGUUGAAGUCAUACCUGUCAAUCAACUCUGUUCUGACGGUUCAUCUACCAUAACAACAAUAAGAGUAAAACGUCUUAGGACCUGUUAUAUCUGUAAAGAAUACAGAGCCUUUUUUUUUUCCCUGGAUAUGGAGAAAAAAUGUCAUACAAUCUCAACUAUUGUAUAACAGAAUCUAUACUAUGUUUUUUCUUCAUUUUACUUGUUCUGCCAUCUAAGUCUGCAUUUCUUUGUGAAGAUUCCAGUGAUUGCCUGACUCUGCUCAAAUUCAGGGAGGAGCUAACAAGUGACUCCAAAGAUCAUCUUCAAACUUGGAAUGAAGCCAAUCCCUUGUGCAACUGGACUGGAGUUACAUGCCACCAACGUCUCCAAAACCGGGUUAUAGGUCUUGAGCUCAUAGAUAUGGGGUUACAAGGAAAAAUAUCACCAUUCAUAUCCAAUCUCUCUCUACUUGCCAACUUGUCUUUACAGAUCAAUGGGUUCCAUGGACAAAUUCCAUCUUCCUUUGGAAAACUUACAGAGUUAGCGUUUCUGAAUGCUAGCUCAAACAAGCUUGAAGGUAACAUUCCAGGUUCAUUACAUGGUUGCCGAAGCUUGAAAGUCGUAGACUUGACUUACAACAAUCUAUCUGGUGUCAUUCCUGAAGAACUCGGCUGGAUGAAGAGUCUGGCAUAUUUAGCUCUCUCCGAAAACAGUCUCAGGGGAGUGCUUCCAGCCUCUCUUUCAAACUUGACGGAAUUGACACAACUUGAACUGGCUGUCAACUAUUUUACUGGAAAGAUCCCACCAGAGCUCGGAGCAUUAAGAAAGCUAGAGAUUUUGUAUCUCCAUAUGAACUAUCUCGAAGGCUCGAUACCGGCAGCAAUUGCUAACUGCACUGCUUUACGCGAAAUUUCGCUGAUUGAGAACUUGUUAAGUGGAGAAAUCCCUUCAGCUUUGUUUGCUAAACUCAAGAAUAUGCAGAAAAUGUACAUGUCAAGAAACAAGCUUUCUGGGAAAAUUCCAGGGACCCUCUCCAAUCUUUCACAGCUGAUACUGUUUGAUGUUAGUUUGAAUAAUUUAGAGGGGGAAGUUCCUGGAGGAUUGGGCAUGCUAAAGAACCUAGAGAAUUUCUACUUACAUUCCAACAACUUGUGUGGCGGCUCUGGUAAUUCUUCUCUCAGUUUCUUAACAGCUUUAACUAACUGUUCGUAUCUGCAAAAACUACACUUGGGUUCGUGUUUGUUCACUGGAAAUCUACCAUCUUCUAUAGGAAACCUUUCAAAAGACCUGUAUUACUUGAAUCUUUUUGAUAACCACAUUACAGGAAGUAUGCCAGAAAGUAUCGGAAACUUAAGCGGCCUAGUAACAUUGUACUUGUCAUACAACCGUUUGGUAGGAAGCAUACCAUCUUCCCUUGGCAAGCUUUUGAAUUUGCAGAGGUUAUACUUGGGGAACAACAGAAUUAUUGGGCCCAUGCCAGAUGAGUUAGGGAUGAUGUCUAGCCUUGGUGUACUGGAUUUUGGCAACAAUUCGAUUGGUGGGACGAUUCCUCCUUCACUUGGUAAUCUCUCACAGCUGAGAUAUCUUUACCUGUCCAGAAAUUUCCUAUCGGGAAUGUUUCCAAUUGAGCUUACUCAAUGCUCUCUUAUGAUGCUGCUUGAUCUAUCUUUCAACAAAUUACAAGGCUCUGUUCCUGUAGAGAUUGGCGGCUUUUCAAACCUAGCUCUCUCUCUUAACCUUUCGAACAAUAAGUUCGAAGGACAGUUGCCUGCAAGCAUUGGAAAGCUGGUAUCUGUACAGGCAAUUGACUUGUCUGAGAACAAGUUUUCUGGUUUGAUACCUACCUUGAUUGGAAGCUGCAUUUCUUUGGCCUAUCUAAACAUGUCCAACAAUAUGUUUGAGGGGACUAUUCCAGAUUCGUUGAGUUUGAUCACUCAUCUUGAAGUUUUGGACUUGGCUCGUAAUGAAUUAAAUGGCACCCUUCCGAAAUGGAUUGCUGAAAACCAGAUGAUCAGGAAUCUUAAUUUAUCUUACAAUAGGCUAUCAGGAGAAGUUCCAGAUACUGGAAGGAGAAAUAUUUUUAAUAGAAGCUCAUUGUUGGGGAAUGUCGGGUUGUGUGGUGGUUCUGCACUACUUGGUCUUCCGCCAUGUGAAGUUCAAAAGAGAAAACAUAAGAUAAGAAAAUCGAUAAUUUACUCUUUGGUUGCUGCAGUUGCGUUUGUCUGUGUGCUGGUGGCUGUUUUCGUUUAUUGUUUCUUCUUCUCCUUCAGAAAGCGGGAUUCAAAAGCAGAAGACAGAAUGGUAACAGUAAUGGGAUCACCAAGCCAUCAUGGAAGGCGCACUUUCACCCAAAGGGAACUUGAACUUGCAACAGGUGAGUUCAGUGAAGCUCAUCUGUUGGGUAGAGGAACCUUCGGAUCAGUCUAUAAGGCAAUUGUUGAUGAUGGUGAAACUAUUAUGGCAGUGAAGGUUCUGCAUGGUGACGGUAUUCAGAGUUACAAAAGCUUUAAGAGGGAAUGUCAAAUCAUGUCCGAAAUUAAGCACCGGAAUCUUGUUAGAAUGUUAGGAUAUACCUGGAGUACACAGUUCAAGGCUCUAAUUCUUGAAUACAUAGGAAAUGGUAACUUGGCAGAGCAUCUUUAUCCUGGCGGACUAGAGGAAGGAACAUGUGAACUAUCGUUGAGGGAAAGAAUAUCAAUAGCCAUAGAUGUUGCCAAUGGCUUGGAGUAUCUUCAAGAAGGUUGUCGAGUCCAAAUUCUACACUGUGACUUAAAACCAGAGAAUGUGCUUAUUGACAAUGAUAUGGUAGCUCAUGUAGCAGAUUUUGGGAUUGGAAAGCUCAUAUCAGCUGAUAAACCCAAGGAACUACAUGUUAGCACAACGCAUUUUCUACGAGGAUCAAUUGGGUACAUUCCCCCAGGUAUGCAGAAUCUCACAUCACUAAUUUAGUAAUUUCCCAUUUAUACACCAACAUUUGGUUGGUAUUUAACAGAUAUUACUUGCAUUACAGAAUAUGCGCAAGGGAUUGAGGUUUCAGCUAAAGGAGAUGUCUAUAGCUUUGGUGUGAUGGUGCUCGAGUUGAUAACAAGAAAAAGACCGACAAGCAAUAUGUUUCGAGAUGAGGUUGAUCUAAGGAAGUGGGUGCAUUCUUCGUACCCAGACCAUGUUUUGGAUGUUGUUGACAGCACGCUAAAGGAGAUAAAAAGCACAGAUGGUGCUUUGGAUGAGCUUGAGCGAUGCUGCAUUCAGAUGCUUGAGGUAGGGUUGAGGUGCACAGAAGAUACUCCACAUAAAAGACCCUCCAUGUCUUUUGUUGUGCAGAAGUUGACACAGUGCCUAGAAAGCUGGAGAGACCUGGAGACCUGGAGAGAUGGAGAGAUGGUGAAACUUCUGCAUCCACAAAUGUUGGAAUAGAGUUUUACAAUUCUGGUAUAUUAUCGAGUCUAUACUCUUAAGUCUAAUUAUUGUCAGCCUUUUUUCUUAUCAUGUAGAAAAAUUGUAACAUAAACUAUGUAGGGGGAAGAAUCACCAUUUCAGUGGUCACUUUUUACUGCUUGAUUAUGCUUGGUACUUAAUAUUGGUUCAGAUUUCUUAAGAGGCUCUGUUAAGAAGCGUCAGCUAUGGCUGCCAACAAGCACACCCUAAAUUAUUAUCAUGGAUGAUACUACCAUGCACUUGCUAAUCUAAGGGCAUGCACACCUAGAAAUAGUAACAAGUCGGCUUUGGUAUACUACAAGAGUACAAGUCACAAGUCCGCCAUUGCUGCUCCUUAAUGUCGCAGCUCUAGAAUCCUCAGCUUGAAUUCUAGAAGCUAGCUUUAAUUAUCAAACCAAUAUUAUUUACCAUUUAUGUCAAUAAUACCAAAACUUUGAAGAUAGAAGCCAGAGAAAGAAUGGCAUACAGUCUCAUUCCGGAAACAUAUGUUUCCCUGACCGUGUUUGGGAUGUCGUUGACAGAAGGUUAAUGGAGAUACAAAGCACACAUCGUGCUUUGGAUGAGCUUGAGAAAUGCUGCAUUGAAUUGCUUGAUGUAGGGUUGAUGUGCAGUAUUGUGCACAGAAGAGAAUCCACAAAAAAGACCUGCUACGUCUUUUGUUGUGCAGAAGUUGAAACAGUUUUUGGAAUGCUCCAAUAAACUUUGAGACUUGAAGAGAUGAUAUAACUUCUACAUUCAUAAAAGUAGGUCCUGUGUUUUAAUGAUUGCAUUCUCAAGCAUGUUACCAUAUUAACGUAAUAGUUUCUCAGUAAAAAGGAGAAUUGUAACACAGUUUUCAGUGAUAUAAUACAGUUUACUAUCUUUACUGAAGAACUGAAGAUAAUCUUACAAAAAAAAAAAAAAAAAAAAAAAAAACCCUCCUAUCGAUAAUAUUGCACAAAACCUAUUAUAAUGUAGGAUACCUGCUGCAAAGAACAGUAAUCAAGUCUAUUUUGAAAUGAUCCUCAUAAAUCGGUUCAUUGAAGAGAACAUCCCUGCUGCCCUAUCAAACAAAGAUGGGCCCUGCUCUGAAUCCUCUUGCAUAUUUCCAAAUAUCAUCUAGAAAAAAAAAUCAAAUUAAACCCAUGAUCUUCUUGUUUGUGCACAUUUUGUAAAAGUUCAACUGUUAGCAACUGACCUCAAGGUCUUCAGCAUCAGGACGGCGCAAAAGCUCUUUGGCAAGCAGAUAUCUGUUUGGUCUCUCCUUGUCAUCAAAGAAUACCUUCCAUGACCUGGUAAAUGACCAAGGAAAAUACCAUGGCAACAAGAGGAAGUUAGGUCUUUUAACUGGAUAGUAUGCGAUGGAGUGCUAAGAAACCAUAGAUCAAAGGACCAUCAAAAUGUUAAGAAUUCAAUAAGAUGUUUUAAAUCCCUUACCCUGGAUAGCACCUAAAUACAGCCCCGGAUUCCAUAGGCCUCAUUGAGUAGACUGUCGUAAAAGUGCUGCAUGGAAAUUGGACGAGGAAAAGUUACAAAGAAGAACGAACAGAAGGGAUGAGCAGGUAGCUACUGAGGUAAAUAAAAGAGAAUUUCAGCAGGGACAUAGCACCCUUAGCAGUGAAACAUCUAAACUGAAAAAGAUACAGAAAAGCACAUAUCAAUGUAGAUCAAGAAGUAUACCUCAAAAAGUACCGCCUUAACUUUCGUACAUUAAAUCCAACUCCAACAUCCUCACUGAUGAGACGUGGGUUCCACAUGAUUAGAGGCCUUGGCUGCAAACUUAACAAUAUUAGGAAAUAUAUCUUGCCACUUUCAGAAUGCACUAGAGAACAACCAAAUGAUCCAAAAAGAGUAAUAGCCAUCAUAUGGAAUGUUCCAACUUGAUGCUUUUAUGGAAUUUAUUUUUUGAGCUAUUAUUUACCGGAUCAUCUAACAAACUGGAUGCAAGUCUCUCUACAUAUUCCAACAUCUGAUAAUCAGGUACAAUCAUAACCACAAUCUCAUCUUCACUUGUUAUGGGCUUCCGGUCACUUAAGCUGAAUGUAACGAGCCAGAAGAUUGUAUAAGAAUGAGGUACAAGUGUUUAUUUAUGAAUUCCCAGAUGAAAAGAUAUAAGCAUACAGUUCACAAAACAAAUUUAAGAGCAUUUAAUUUAGCAAACAUGAUUAACAUAUGGCAUGCUGUGCCAUAUUUCAAAAAAGUAUUACUAGCCAAAGUGAACCUAGACUGGUAUGGUAUAAAUUACCUGGCGAAUCCAAAAGCAGCAUCUGUCCACCGAUAUUUUAGAAGAGCUGCUGCUCCAGCAUCAGGAAAUACAGCUUUAACUCUCUUGCAAAUAAAUUCGUAUAACUUAUCAAAAGAUGUUAUAUAAUGAGAGAAGUAAACUAUAGUACAUUUAAGCAGUUUGGAAACCAUAUUCACUUCAUUAACAAGUUGCUUUCAUUGGAAGUGGUAUAAUGAUAUAUGCAGGCAGUAAGCAUCAUAGCUAAGAGGUAUACAUAUGUAUGAAAUCGCCCUAUCAUAAGUAGAGUAAUAUAUGAUAUACUACAGUUCACUAACUAAAUAAACAUUUAACAACUAACCUCACAUCCAGUUUCCUCUAUAAGUGUAUCCAAGAAAACCCUUGAUAACUCCCAGAGCUCAGCUUGUGCCCCUUCUUCAUCUAGAAACUGCAGCUGGGGAAUUAAAAGUUCAACCUGCAAAAAGAUAAUGAGUUUAUAAACAAGUUAGGCAGACAAGGAACUGAAAUGGAUGAUGUGCUCGAGAAGUAAAUCAAUUAAUGCACGCAACCUCCCUGUGGACAUUAUCCUCUAUCAAGCUAAAAUUUAUUUAUUUAUUUACUGAACAUUCUCUCAGGAUAAGUUUUAGCCUUAUCACCAAAAAAUACGUUUUAGUUUUAUCAGUUAUGAGAAAGAAGGGCAUAAACUAGGGAUGUUACUAUUUCUUUUGAACUUAACUAAGCCAGUUUUACACUUUCCCUAAGACAUCUUCAGCUAUUUUGCACAUAUACAUGGAAGAAAAGGCUAUUUCGGUAAACUAAUGAAUAGCCAGAAGCAGAACUGACACUCCUAUAACCAUAAUUCCAAGUACUAUACUCAAGUUAGCUAGUCUUCCUUCUGAUGUUUAUAGAUCUUAAGAUCACUAUAGAGCUUCUCUCCAAAUUCACAUAGUUGAAUUAUCUUUUCAUUGUCUGAUUAUACACAUAGUACCACUUUGCCAUUAAUCACAUGAAAAUUCCUACAUGAAUGAAUAACAUAACAUAUUCUUAUGGCACGUACUAUGGCUCUCAUUCCUCCUGAAGAAACAAAUGACGCACUUGCUUCACCCGAUUGACGGACUGCACCCUCCAAGUCAGAAGGCAAGCAGCUGAAUCAUAAACGAAUUACAUCAAUACCUUCCUUUCACUCCACCAUACACUUCAAACAACAUUUAAAUGCAAGAAUAUUACAUCCUACUUCAAUCUCAAUCCACAUAAUACUGCUCAUAACAUGCACAACUACGCAUUCAAAAUAUUGCUGUACAUACCACAGCAAGCUAACCCCCUGAACAUGCUAAACCCAAAUUCUCUAAAUCUAACUUAGCCAGUCAAAUCCUCAAAAAUCAAAGGAAAGUAAUAGAAAGCAGACUCUAGCUCUGGUACAUAAACUUGAGCUUCCACAAAGUAUCUGACCAGUAUAGUCUCCUCAGUUAAGAAAUCACUACCCAUUACUGUUCUUCUGCCUACUUCAUCUCAGUCAAAUACAAAAAUGCAUAAGCAACACAACUCAAUGAAUCCAUUCACUAAAUUUCAUCCUAACAACCUCUAAUUCACCAUCCAAACACAAAUGGCUAUCACCAUUCUCCUCUACAUCUUCAUCAUUUACCUCCAGCUAUGUCCAAUAAUACAUCAUGCACAUCAUGACAUUAAAACAUCAAAACAUGAAGCAAAGCUGUAGAAUUUACAAAACCCAAAAGCAAGAAACAAAAACACAAUCAAAACCAACAAAGGAACAACCUUUACUAACCUGUCAUCUUCUUCCUGCACACCAUCUUCUUCAACCUCUGGUAAGGAUGGUGUUGUGUUGGUUUCUUCAAGCUCAUCCUCAGCUUGAAACUUCUCAAACUUGGCACAUAUUCUUGACCCACUACUAAACCAAGCCUUAGUCACUGAAACUCCAUUGCACCCAUUAAAGCUAGACCCAGAAAACCUCAAGGGCAAGCGUGUGGCUGAUGUUGAAGAACUGGAGCUCAAGUUAAACAACGAGCUUGGGUAUGUGGAUGAAGCCAUGAUUGAACUUAGCCCACUGGUAACUGAUAAUACCAGAGAAACAGAAAAAAGAAACCAAAAACGACACGUCGUGUAUAUCAUGGGCCGGGUGGGUCGGGUUGAGAAACUGGGCCGGUUCCCGAAUCUUUUUUCGAUAGCCGUUAGAGAGGAGGAGCUGCUUGAUAUGUAAUCGGACGGCUGUGAUUCACUCAAAUUCAAAAUUAAAUCCAAAUUAAAACCCUACCCCCUCUUUUCCCCCAAAUCAAAUUCGCAACUCUCUUUCUCUCUCUUCUCUCGGAAACUCUCUCUCUCUCUCUCUCUGAAACUCUCUCUUUCUCUCUCUAGAAUUCACCGAAUCACAAUCUUGCUCUUGAAGCGAUGACUGGUAGUCCUCUCUUUCUCUCUCUCUCUAGAUUUUCUUGAUUUUGAUUUGGUUUUUAAACGACGACGUUUUGAUUGACGCUUUGUUUUUCAGAUCUAGUGGCGGAAAUGUUCCCGGAAAUCUGCGACGGCGCUACACCGGGUCACGAUUCGGAGCCUUCUGAAACCUCCGAAACAGGUUCGGUUCCUUUACGCGAUUCAGUUUUCGUUUUUUUUUGGUUUUGGAUUUUUGAAUUUGCAAGAAAAUGUUGAGUUUGAGGUUCUGGUGCGUUGUUACUGCGAUCUUGAGUUCAAGAAGAUGUGGAAUUGGGGGAAAUUUCUGAUUGAAUUUGAUUUUUUGGUUGCAGUGCAAACCCUAGUGACUGUGAAGAGCGAGGUGGAUGGUGAUGUCAGUGACAAAGGUGUGUGUUCCCUUUUUGAAUUUCCAUCAUCUGUUACUGUUACGAUUUCGAUUUCGAUUUCGAUUUUGUGUUUCGAGUCAAGAAAAUGUAGAAUUGGGGGAACUAUCUGAUUUAAUUCAACUUUAUUCUUGUAGUUCAAACCCUAGAGACUGUGACAGACGAUUUGGACAGUGAUGUCACUGGUAAAGGUGCGUUAUUCUACUAUUAUUGGGGUUUUUAAAUUUUCAUCAAUUUGUUUACGAAAUUAUUGGAAGUAUUUGCUUUAGUCUUGUUUGUUGCUGGGAAAAUUGAAACUCUGGGUUUUGAAUCCUAUUCUCUAUGUUCUCUUGGCUUACAGGUAGUGAUGAAUUAGAGUUGGGUCUAAUUAGUUUUUUGUUAGAUAUGAGCUGAGGUUAAUGACCUUAGUCUACAUAACCAGUUUAACAUUUCUCAGUAACUAGAUAGCAACACACUUUUCCAAACAACACAUGUUGGUCUCUUUUGCAAGGCAGAUACUUAUUGCUUCUGUAACAUGACUGUUGAUUGUUAAAGUUUCAGAUGAUGCUGCAGAACAAGUUGUGGGAGUUUCUGAUUUGAUUGAGGAGAGUGGUGUGUCAAAUGAAACUGAAGAACAUUCCCCAUUUCAAGGGGAGACCCUUCCAAUUCUGCAGAAGAUCAUUGAUUUGAGUGCCAAAAUUAAGGUGAAUUUUCAAUUUUAUUUUUGCAUAUCCUUUUGUUUUAGAAACGAAGAUCAUUGACUGAGAGAGGGUACAGUGUGGCUCAUUGCCUGCAUUGAAUGAUUUUUCCUUUUCUCCAUUAUGGCUGCCAAUCUAAUUUCAUCCUUUUUAUUGCACUUCUAUGUUUAGGACUUGAAAAAAGAUCAUACUGUAUUGUCUGAUGAAGUCAAGCAAACGACGAGUUCUUUUCCAGACCCUGAAGUUUUGAAAACUCUUCAGAUGCUAAGUAAGUCUCUAGAAUGAACUGAUUUAUGUUCCAUCUUUCCUUGUUUCUUUCAUUCUUUGAUUGUAAUUGGUUGUUGCUUCUGGUGCUCUAGGUACUGAACAUGAACUUCUGAAGAAGAAGUACCUUGCUGAGUCCUCUGAACGGAAGCGACUAUACAAUGAAGUGAUUGAGCUUAAAGGCAAUAUCAGGGUUUUCUGCAGAUGUAGACCUUUGAACCAAAAUGAAAUUUCAAAUGGAUAUAAUUCCGUUAUUGAGUUCGACUCCUCCUUAGAUAAUGAGCUGCAGGUCCUUUCCUCUGAUUCUUCAAAAAAGCAGUUCAAGUUUGACCAUGUGUUCAGACCCAAGGAUGACCAAGGUAUUUGAGAAAUCGUACUGAUUUUAUUAUUUGUACAGGCUAAUUCUUUAUAGAUGACUUUUUUUUACAAUGAAUAAUUGCUAGACAGAUUUUGUGUCACUGAUUCUGAAUUUUACUAAUAUGCAGAGGCUGUUUUCGCUCAAACUAAACCUAUUGUCACCUCAGUGUUGGAUGGGUUUAAUGUGUGCAUAUUUGCCUAUGGACAAACUGGAACUGGUAAGACCUUUACAAUGGAGGGAACUCCUGAAAAUAGGGGUGUCAACUACAGAACUCUAGAGGAGUUGUUUCGGCUUUCAGAAGACAGAUGUGGUUCCAUGCGAUAUGACUUAUCAGUUAGCAUGCUUGAAGUUUAUAAUGAGAAGAUAAGGGACCUUUUGGUAGAUAACACCCACCAACCCACGAAGAAGUGAGUUUUCUUCUGCUUACAUCAUAACUGAAUACCUUGCUAUUUUGCAUUUAGUAAACUGUUGAUUAGAAUCAUGUUGGGAUCUUGUUAGCAUGCUUGAAGAACCAAAUAGCUAUUGCUUUGUUAAAUGAACAAUAUGUGUGAAACACAGAAUAGUCACAAGAUACACUGAUGGUUGAUAUGGUUGCAAUUAGCAGAAAAAAAAUACUAAUAGGGAAAUAAUAGCAGUGUUACUAUUUUUAUCAAAGAUGCAAUGUUGGAACUUGGAAGGAGUAGUAAUCUUUUAUUUGUAGAGUUGUACUUAUUUUGUGUUAUUGAACAAAGGUUGGAAAUCAAGCAAGCUGCAGACGGAACCCUAGAUGUGCCAGGACUUGUUGAACCUCACGUGAAUGGGUUUGAGGAGAUGUGGGAAUUUCUGAAGUCUGGAAGCCGCUCCAGAUCUGUUGGAUCAACCAGUGCUAAUGAGCUGAGCAGCCGGUCUCACUGGUACUUUUCCUGCUACUUAAAAAUUUGGCUUUUUGUCUGCAAAUGUAUUGAGAUGGGCCAUGAAAAUAUAAUGCAAAAUGGAAUCUUUCACACCAUGAAUAUCAUAAGUAUGUGGUAACCUAAUUUCCAUUUUUUUCUUUGCUGUAGCUUGUUGAGAGUGACUGUUAAGGGGGAGAACUUGAUAAGUGGGCACAGGACUCGGAGUCAACUGUGGCUAGUAGACUUGGCUGGUAGUGAGCGUGUGGGGAGGAUUGAGGUUGAAGGGGAAAGACUGAAGGAAUCUCAGUUUAUAAAUAAAUCUCUCUCGGCCCUUGGAGAUGUAAUCUCAUCCCUUGCUUCCAAAACAGCCCAUAUUCCUUACAGGAAUUCAAAGCUCACUCAUAUGCUGCAGAGCUCUCUAGGUAUGCCUUUAUUGUAGGUUUUACUUGAUUGUCUGGCUUUUAAAUUUUUCUUCAUCCACAAUGUUAAUGAAACUUGAACUGCAGGAGGAGAUUGCAAAACAUUGAUGUUUGUCCAGAUCAGCCCAAGUUCCGCAGAUUUAGGAGAAACACUAUGUUCUUUGAAUUUUGCCAGCCGAGUCCGAGGAGUUGAGAGUGGCCCAAUUCGCAAACAAGCAGACCUCACAGAGCUGCUCAAGUACAAGCAAUUGGCAGAAAAAGCUAAACAUGACGAGAAGGAGACAAAGAAACUACAGGAUGGUUUAUCGGCUGCGCAGUUAAGGCUAGCUGCAAGAGAACACAUGUGCAGAAAUCUUCAAGAAAAGGUAACCUAUUAUGAUAGAGGAAGUUGAUUUCUUGAAUUUCUUCUCUAGAAUUUUAAUCACUUCAUUCAUAAUUUAACUACUGAAUUUCCAUAGGUCCGAGACCUUGAGAACCAAUUGGCAGAGGAAAGGAAGACUAGACUGAAACAGGAAAGUAGAGCUUUGGCUACUUCAUCAUCAACAUCAUCCUGGAAACAAGGAGCACAGAAGGCUGUUGCAGAGAAGAAGCCACCAUUGGCUCCCAACAAAUCAAGGCUUCCCCUGAGAAGAAUUGGCAAUUUAUUGCCCCAGCCAUCUGCUUUUCCUCCCAAAAAGGACAGCUACUCGACUUCUGCUGUUCCACCUCCAAUGGAUGGCAAAGAAAACGUCUCAACAACAUCAGGGGCCACAAGAAACACCGGCCGCCUUAUUUUACCAAAACGUAUGUCCAUUGCUGUGAGGCCUCCUCCAACAACAACCACCACAACAGCACAGCAGGUUCGUAAGCCUAAGAGACAUUCCAUUGCUACUCUUCCUAACUUUAGGCCCGAGCCAAACUCUUACAUGGCUACUCCCCUCAACAACAACACCUCUGCCUCUCGGUUCAAUAAUGGGAGGCCCUCAUUUCUGCCGCGAAAGAGAUAUUCAAGAUUGUUCUCUCCAAUGCCUGAUUUUAAGUCAGCAGCAGAGACAACCCCUACUGCCAUGAGGAGCAGUAGUAAGUUCAUGUGCAGCCCCCCAGCACAGCAGGCUAGUUCAUUCAAAUCAAGGCUUCCCACAGCCAUUGCAUUGCAGCGAAAACCAGUAAUUUGGAGUCCGCUAAAGUUCUUGAAGAACAGGAGGCCGUCACUGGCUCUGCCCUCUAGAGUGGAGAUGUAGUGAAUAAAGUUGUUUGCUGUCACAUUGUCUAUAUUGUCGAAAACCUUGAAACAGUAAUCCUUUUCUUUUCUGGAUCUUCUGGUUACCUUAUAAUUUUUGUGAUAGUACUCGAAAAUGUAUGCUUCUUGCCUACCAUUGAUUGAUUCAAUAUGGAAAUCCUUCAUUGUUUUUGUUUCCCUCCCACUCAUCCAAGCAUGCUUCUUAUUAUAACAUUAUCUUUGUGUCGAAUGAAAAGAAACCCAGAAAGGCAACAAACGCCACAAAUCAAGGUCUCUCCCUUUGUCUUCAAAUCUCAAUCUCACAUUUAGUAGAGAGAUAGAGUAGAGAGAGAGAGAGAGAGAGACCCACUUCAACUUUGUGCUUCUCUUCUAUUAUACCCAAAUCAAAAUGGUUGCUAAAACCCCACCAAAGCAAAGAAAGAUGGUAGCCCCUCUCAAUCCAGCUCUGCUUAGAGAAACAGUGAAGAAGGUGAGCUAGAUUUCUUUCAUUUCUUGGUGGGAUUUGGAAGUCUGUGAUAAAAUUUUAUGUGUUUGGUAUAAUGGGUGUGUGUUAUUUUUUUGGGUUUGUGAAGGUGGAUAGGUGUAUGGCUAGGUUGCAGGAGCUGCAGUAUACAGUGACGGGUGGGACGAAGGUGAUAUCGGGAGUGAGUCUCAGCCCGAGAAGUACUAGAGGUUAUAUGAGGACUAGUCUCAGAUGUAAACAAGAAUCUGCAAGGUAAAGGUUUAAGCUUUUGAUUUUGAGUUUUGAGUUUUUGGUGUAAACAAGAAUCUGCAAGGUUGGUUUUUGGUGAUUUUUGAUGUGGGCAUUGAAAUGGAUCUUUUUCUUUGUGAAGGAUAAAAGGUUUGACGCCGAGGAAAUCUCCGGUGGGCAAGUUUCCGGCAGGGAAGUCUCCAGCAAAGUCAGCAGGUAACAUUCUCUUCUGAAAUCACUAAUUGGGUCAAACAGGUUUUGUGGUUCAUUUCUUUGUUUCAGUAUCUGGUUACUUAAGUUGUGUUUGUACCAUUGGUCACUUCAAAUUUGAGUUUUGAUUGUGUUCAAACUUGAAACUUGAAACUUGAAACUUGUCACUGGAAAACAGAUAGAGAAAAGGUUUGUUAAAAUGGGCUUAUGAGAUUUAUAUUUUGGUGCUUCAUUUCUUGAUUUCAGUAGUUGGUUACUUCAAUCAGGCAUUCUAUUACUUGGUUCAUAUUCAAAACAGGAAAUCUAUUACUUAUAGACCAAAUUUGAGCAACAUUUUGAGAAAUGCCUGAAAUUUUCAUUGUUAUGUUCAGGGGAAUGGCAGAGAAUGUCACUGCCGGCAAUGCUGCUCAGCGAAACAGUCGGAGAAAUUCUUCAGUCUAGUCAAUUUGCUAGGGAAAUAGUAGCAUCAGUUCCCAAGAAAACCACCAUAGAAGACCCCAAAACCCCAAUGUCCCAACAGAGGAAACAGAGACCACCCCCUGAAAACACAGAGCUCAUGGCCAGAAGAAAGAGGGAGAAGCACAACAAAGCUCAAUUGAACCGAUCAGAAUCACGCUCACCGGUUCUCCAAAGAGCCCGGUCUCGAAUCAACUUCAAGGUUUCGCCUCCUAAGAAGAGAGAGAUAGAGAAAGAGAACACCAGAUACUUGGCAAACAGAGUGUCUCCCAAAAACAGACCAUGGGCUAAAAAGAGUGUAUUGUUUCCCAACCCUUUGUUUUUGGCUACAGAUACUUCACCAACUCAAAACAAGUUUUGUAGAACAAGGUCACCAAUGAUCGGAAGAAGUAGUACUAGUAAUACUAAGCCACACACUCAGCAGAUUCAGACUCCACACAAGUUUUUGAUCAAGUCUCCAGCUUCGGCUUCAAAGUUCCAGGUCAAGAUUAAGAGCCCUCCAUUGAUUUCUUCUCUUUCGCCAACUAAGGCCAAGAAGUCUCCGAAGAAAUCUGCUGUGUCGAAACUGCGGCGGUCAUUUUCUCCGUCCAGAUUGGCUACUAGAUUGGUGUCUCUGUCUCCAUUGAAGAGUAGGAAGAGUGUGCAGAAGAGUGAGGUUGUAAUAAUGCCGGGUUUGAAACAGCGUCCAACUUCCUCAAUGCCACUGGGAAUUUCAGCUCGGAGGAAUUAAACAUGUUUGAGAUUACAUACUCGUAUGGAUUGGUUUGGAACUUUGGAUUGUAUGAUUGUUUGAGAUAUAUUUUCUCGAUGUCAAUAGUUUCAUUGAUUAUGGGUGAUGUGAAUUUGUUCAUGUAUAAGGUUGAGAAAAGUUCAAUAAUUAACUCAAUAGAACUACUUCAUAAACUUUGAAAUAUAACGUUUGAGAUUACAUACUCGUAUGGAUUGGUUUGGAACUUUGGAUUGUAUGAUUGUUUGAGAUAUAUUUUCUCGAUGUCAAUAGUUUCAUUGAUUAUGGGUGAUGUGAAUUUGUUCAUGUAUAAGGUUGAGAAAAGUUCAAUAAUUAACUCAAUAGAACUACUUCAUAAACUUUGAAAUAUAACUUCUUUGUUUGAACUAUCUAUGCCAUUCUUCUCUCUUUUUUCAUCUGUGUUGGGUUCUUGGAUCAUAUAAUUACUUGUUUAUAAAUUAGCAAAUUUGUUUGAGAAAAUGCACCCAUAAAUAAUCAAGGUCAGUUGAUAUCGGGUCGGCGACACUUCACAAUGGUGUGGUACAUCAUGUAGUGUCGAGGCUCGGCUACUUGGAGAGUUGGAGGCCUGUGGCGGCUGGUGUUAGAUGACCUUAGCAAUAUCAAUUGAGCUUUUUUGUUGUCAUGUAGUUUCACUGAAUUAUAAAAUAACUAACGGUAGUUUAAUAUUAUUUGGUUUAGUGACAUCGUUUCUUUUUUAGUAAGUGGAAGGUUAUGAGUUCGAUUCACGCAGUUGUAAUUUACCUGAUCAAAAAAAAUAAAUAAUGGUAGAUUAAUAAUGCAACAUUAUCGAUUAAUCUUUCUCUGUAAGGUUAAGGUGUGUUAAUGUAUGUGAUACAUCAACUUUGCCCUCAAGUUGUAAACUAAGUCCUCAAAGUGGUAAUAUUAGUCCUCAAAGUUGUAAUAUGAGUUGUUAAAGUUGUAAAACUUUAACUUAAAGACACAUGAUUAUUAAUGUUAUAACUAGAAAAUUUUACAAGUUUAAGGACUCAUAUACAACUUUGAGGACUAAUAUUACUAGUUUGAGGACUCAAUUUACAAAGUUGAUGCAUCACAUCAUUCACAUGCAUUAACACAUUGUAGAAUUGAUUAGCUCAUCGAUGCGACCACUGGCCAUGAACUACUUAGCAUACUGAAUGCUUAUUCUAGAUCUAAAUACAAUCAAAUCAUAACGGACCCUGACAACCAAGAAGCAAACACAUUCGUAACCGAUCAUGGUCUAUUUGUUAUAGGUCAUGUUGUUCAGACUUAAGAACAUAGUGGCCACCUAUCAACGCCUAAUGAACAAGAUGUUCGGUGAUCAUAUUGGCAAAAUCAUCGAGUUUUUUUUUAUUCUAAUCAUUGAGGUUUAUGUCGAUGACAUGCUCGUCAAGAGCUUCAAAUCUGGAGAUCACAUUCGAAAUCGGAUGAUCUUGAUUUCACUCUUGGGAGAACUAAAACCAGGUAAUAGGAAUCUAUUCUCGGCUGAAUGUUGGUUCUCGGAGGCUUCUUGUUGUUUUUGGUCGUGUUCAAGGACUCAUCUUAGUGUUGCAGAUAGAGAUAGCCUUGAGAGGAUGAAAUGGGAGAGUUUAACUUCAAUGUCCUGGGUGUUUAAGUCAGUUAGAAGUACAACAAUUAGGCCAGAAAAAACCUCAAAAUUUUGAUAGCGUAUUGCAUGUGCCUCAAACCCUUGUUUGCAAAGAUGAACGAGGUGCGCAACAAUACCCAAAUAAUUUUGAUUGGAGAGAUGCAAGUUUUUUUUUGGUAUAUUUUUAACCAAAUGAGUUAGUCCUCUAUGUACAGCAGUGCUAAUACCUAUAUUGAUUAUGGUGUGUGUGUGUGUGACCCGUGAAGGUGUAGUCACUAAGAUGUGAACUUUGAUUAUGUGAAAGCAUAAAUCACUAACGAUUUGUUGAUGACGCCCAUGAUAUCUGGCUUAUGAUCAAUUCAUCCAUGCAAUCUUAACUAAAAGUUUAUAUAGUGAAAGUCAUACCGCAAAUCUGCGUGUUGGGAUAUGUCAAUAUAAUAAUAUAAGCAAUCAAAUCUUUUAGUUGGUACACGGUACGGAACUUAAAACCUUCAUACUGACAUGCAAUUGUGUACUGGAAAAUAUAAGUUAUCUCUGAACGUUGAGCUAUGUUUAAAUUUGUUUUUGACAUGGGUAAAUGCUCAAGUGCUGGAUUUUCUCAUUUGUUGUUAUCAAUGAAGUAGAAAAUCAGUCAAAUAACUUACACAAUGUGAGAACAUAUGCAUUUGGUUAAAAGAAGAGACAACACAAAAUUAUAUGGGCUUUUUGAUAUUGUAAUUGUUUUUUAGGGUAUUGUUGUCUAAUUCAUUCUACUUUGGUUAGAUCUUAAUGAUUAACAUGAUUCACAUGCAACAUGCAUGCCCGUUUCACAAACUCUGAAAGACGAAAAGAUGUGUGGCAUAUCAUUUUUUCUCCAAUGAUUUUUUUUUUUUAAGAACAAAUAACAACUCAAUAGUUAAAAACCAGUUUUCGUCAAAACAUGUGCAAAACUAUUGUCAAAUGUUGUUGAUGUUCCUCUAAUUGUCAAUGAGACGACAGACCCUAAAUAGAAGUGUCAAUUUCAUAAUUAUUUGAAACAAACAACUCAAAUGAGCUUGAUGCCCAUGGUGAGUUUGACGAUGUCCAUGAUAAUCUUGAGGAGACCUACGCAGAGGAGGUUGUCGAGCAGGAGGAUAUGCUUGCCGAGGAUGUUGAGGUGUUUGAGGAUACGCUUGCUGAGGAUGUUGAGGUGCUUGAGGAUACGCUUGCCGAGGGUGUUGAGGUGCUUGAGGAUAAGCUUGCCGAGGAUGUUACCAAGCUACGGGAGACCCACAUAAGGAGGCACAUUUGAGCCUUUGGCAAAUGCCUAGAGAUUGAAGAUCAUAUGUGUUCCUCUUUGUUUCCUUGUGUUGCAUCAAGUCCAUAUUCAUGGUAAAAGACAAUGGAUUAGUAUCACACCGAUAAUUAUGUGAAAUGACAACUUUACUAUUGAUAGGAGCAUUUUUAUGCUACGUUAUCAUUAUUUAACCCUAUACUUUUCUUUGUUAUUUUGUGUUAUUCUUAGAUAAUGUAUUUGUUUGUGUGUUUAUUAGGGUGUCCAAAGCAAACUAGGAAAAGAAGGCUAAAAAAAGAAAAUUGUGAGGAAUUCUGAUUCACUUUGGAUUCUUGAUGGACCGAGGACCAAUCAGAAAAUUAGAUGAUGACUUUUCUUUAAAGCAAGGAGUUAAAGAUCCAUAAGGAAACAAAAUUGAAGAGUCAUGAAGCUAAAUAAAAAGGGUUUCUAGACGUCAAAAAAAGGGCUGAAAAACGCACAAGAGAAGAGGGAGCCGUCAAGCAACUCAAGGAGAAGAAGUAAAGUUCAGAGCCCAGAAGAGAUCGAUCUCCCGAUUUAGAAGAUCGAUCUUUUCCCCUGUUUUUCAUCUUUCGUAUUUUCUUUUCUCCCCGAACCUUAUGAAAUUCUUUUGUGUGUUUUCAAAGAUGAUGAGUAACUAAUUUUCCUUUAGUUAGGGGCUGCUUUCAAGCCCUAGACAUGGUGUAACUAUGAAGGCGUUUAUUUAAUUUGUUCCAUGAAAUUCAGAUAUUUAUUGGUUUAUCGUUAUAUCAUUGAUCAACUUUGUAUGUUUAUUGAUGGUGGCCAACAUAGUAUGCGUGCUAGGUUGUAAAGCUAUGAAUGUUUUGUAUGAUCAUCAUGUCUACUUGCAUUCUAUAGUAGCGAGUGAGUGACUUGAGUCCAUUCACAUAAACCAAGUGUCUAGGUAGAUUAGGACAACGUCAGUACCGACAUUGCCUAGCCUUAUUCAUAAUCUUUUAGACCUUAAUGACUUAUAGGUGAGAGCUGUGCGAGAACAUCACUCUAGGCUCCAUUCUAGAUGCUAAGUUAAGUUGAAAACAUCAUUCUCCUACAAUACCAAGUAAGAAAGAUUGAUAGGUUAAGUUCAACACAUCAUUGGCUUAGCUUGAGUAAGGAUAUCCGAAUGAAUUGAACAUGUUAGUAAACACAUCAUAGGUGUAAUCAUUGUCUAGUGGUGAGAAGUAGUUCCUAGCUAGUAUUCGUUAUUUGGUUUUCAAAACCACAAUUCCCAUAUUUAGUUUACUGUUUUUGAUCAUUCUGUCCGUCGUUUUUCUGAAUUUUUUUAGCAUAGUAAAACUGCACAAUUUCCCCCCAAAUUUUGUGUGUGUCUUCGUCAGUGUGUCUAGUUUCUCUAGAUUUAAUUUCGUAAUUUUUUGUUGAGUCUAGCUAUAGUUUUUAAUUGUGUCUUUUUCUAGUGUCUGUUCAGUUUUUCAGAAUCAUAUAUGCAAUUGUUAAGUCACAAUCCUCUGCAGGAGACACCCUACUUUUCUAUACUACCAUCGAUAACUUUAUUGUGAUUGCAGGGUUAUUUAUAAGUCUAUUUUAGGCUUAUCAACUAUUUCACUCCGAUAUAGGGUAUUCUCAAUCUUGGUUAGCAGUGUUCUCCUCUUAAUCCAGAAUAAAAUGAUUCGUAAAAGAAAAUAAGUAUUACAAGCUGGGUAUGUUACAAAUUCUUCAGUGUUAUCACGUGUCUAUGUUUAAUAAUACUCUAACCAAGUGGCAUAUUGAGAAGAGUUUUUGUAAUUGUUUUUCAAUGAAACGUGACAAUAUUUUAAAGAUUUUGUAACAUAUCCACUGAAUAAUCAUAUAAUAAACAAUUUCAGUCUUAUUCUUUUUCCAAUGCACAUCUUUAUUCUGAGAGACCAAUUUUAUAUUAUGAAAGUUUCGGAUUAACAACUCAAAUGUUAUAACUAGUCUUUUUUGGAGGAAAAUAACCCAAAGAAAACUUAUCAUUCUUCAUCUUUUAUUAAGGAGAAAUUUUAUUAACACAUCCUUAAAUACUAGAUACACAUAUCUUUUUUUAUACAAAUUAUAUAAGACUUUGUGGGUACAUAAAAUUACCAAAAGAGACAUUCAUAUCAAAAGUAAAGAAAACUUGUUGAAAUAAAAUAUCUCGCUUAAGAGUUUUCUUCUUCUAUACGAGAACAACGUAUGUGAAGAUACCAAGUCCUAUAAUUUAAACCUCUAUAAAUUAAUAACGUCGG